Molecule: unclassified non-coding RNA, 301 nt
Filed under: Hevea brasiliensis (rubber tree)
Lineage: Eukaryota; Viridiplantae; Streptophyta; Magnoliopsida; Malpighiales; Euphorbiaceae
Source: RNAcentral
AGUGUCCAAAUCAAGCAACUUGGCAACCGAAUCUGACCAGGCUACAAGCUCGGGAUUCUCAACUUCAGCAGACGGAGAUAUUCUUGUGUAACAUGCAUGUAAUACCUCACGAGGCAUGAUAUCAGUUCUUGGGUCUCCCGGUAGCUCCCUCACAAACGAGUGAUCCCAGUUCAGAUCCUCGAGCUUCAGCAGCGGCCCCUCGCCGCUCGUCUCUACAGUCCCUCCAUUAUCAACGCCCUUAGCCUGAUCCCGAACAUCCGCCGGAGAAUCCAUCGUCGCGGCGCUGGAGAAGCACUUCCAA